GUGGGGAAUCUUAGACAAUGGGGGCAACCCUGAUCUAGCCAUGCCGCGUGAUCGAUGAAGGCCUUAGGGUUGUAAAGAUCUUUCAGCUGGGAAGAUAAUGACGGUACCAGCAGAAGAAGCCCCGGCUAACUCCGUGCCAGCAGCCGCGGUAAUACGGAGGGGGCUAGCGUUGUUCGGAAUUACUGGGCGUAAAGCGCACGUAGGCGGAUUGGAAAGUUGGGGGUGAAAUCCCGGGGCUCAACCCCGGAACUGCCUUCAAAACUCCCAGUCUUGAGGUCGAGAGAGGUGAGUGGAACUCCGAGUGUAGAGGUGAAAUUCGUAGAUAUUCGGAAGAACACCAGUGGCGAAGGCGACUCACUGGCCCAAUACUGACGCUGAGGCGCGAAAGCGUGGGGAGCAAACAGGAUUAGAUACCCUAGUAGUCC
Molecule: ribosomal RNA, 425 nt
Filed under: uncultured bacterium
Lineage: Bacteria
Description: partial 16S ribosomal RNA
Rfam family: Bacterial small subunit ribosomal RNA
Source: RNAcentral